This 752-nucleotide long non-coding RNA is filed under the name Anas platyrhynchos platyrhynchos (common mallard). RNAcentral's name for it is "lncRNA (ENSAPLG00000028495.1)". Lineage: Eukaryota; Metazoa; Chordata; Aves; Anseriformes; Anatidae. The record is from RNAcentral.
AGCUGUGAGUUAGGAAAACCGGUGUCAAAGUCUCACUCCAGUGUGGAAAGCGAGGCUCCUCUUCCUCACCCCUAAUCAGCUGGUAAUUUCGGGAGGAGAGCAGGAAAAGGCAAACUGGAACAGCGUGCCAAAACGGGAUUGCGAGAGACUAGCGCGUCGUGAUCACAGAGAUUAGGAUUUUAAUACCUUCCCCACCUGUAUUCCUCUUCGCGCAAAGUGUGCCAAGGAGCUGCAAGUCUGUGACUCUGCCAUUCACUCCGUGAUGAGCCUGGUAAACCACGAAGCAUUAUUUCUGACUGCUGAUCAUGCAAGCUGUUCGGGAGCAAAAACUUGAGCGCGGGAGUGGUUUACAUUCGUGGUACCGGUUCCUGGAUCAACCUCUACUUUUAGCAGCCCUUGGGAUAACAGCAGGAAUCAAUGAAACCGGUCAGGAAACCAAUCAUCCACCUGGGAUGCAGAGGGCGAGGGGAGGUGUGAUUUCUGCAGCUGAAUUUCUGGAGGUCGUGAUGAAGCCAGCAAAGAGAGAAGCAGGGAGAAGCCCCCGGCUCUACAUCAGGCCAAGCCUGGUGAGGAAAGGAUGGGACGACAGAGGCAAUCCCACACCCUCACCAAAGGGAUCGGGUAAAGAACCCAAUUCCUUAGCCUGUUGUUGCCAUCAUGCAGCUUCAAGCUCUCGUGCUGGGAUCCAGCCUCUGCCUUUGACAGCAGCAGCAGGAGAAAGAGGCACCUGGGGAGCUGGAAAUGGAGCUUAA